Chroicocephalus ridibundus (black-headed gull) is the source of this 685-nucleotide long non-coding RNA. RefSeq lists it as uncharacterized. NCBI's taxonomy places the organism in Eukaryota, Metazoa, Chordata, Aves, Charadriiformes, Laridae. The transcript has 5 exons. The record is from RefSeq and is a predicted model, not a curated record.
UCAGGGUGAUUGAACAGGCCCUCUCUCUAGAUGUGCUCAGGCAAAUUGUAUUGCCGGUGUGCUUUCGUGGAUGCUGUCAGGACCAAUGGAGAAACCAACAUAACAGAAGUCUGGAAAACUUUACCCUGUCAGAUACAUCACACCGGGCUUCCAACCAUGAAAGGCUUCCCCUGGGAACAGAGAAAGGAAUGGACAUAUUAAAGGAAUCAGACAGCUAUAUAGGUAAUUUUUUUUCUUCUACAUAUUUCUGAACCUCAAUUUAAAGUCUAUGGACCAGUGUAUUAUGCUGCCAAAUUCACCAGGAGAUAUCAAAUACUCAGCAUGAAAUGAACCACACUUACAGGGACUUAAGGAAAGAAGGAAGGACUGACUUGGUCCUGGAAGAGAAUGUAGCAGCAGAAAAUUGCCCUGCCCACAGAUUGGCCUCGGUUGUCCAGGGGAGGCUGGAGGAAUGGCAGUUGCAGGAGGAGAACUGUACAAGGCCUAGAGACCACGUCCAUGUUGACUUCUUGGAGGGGCCUUGAAGACCAGUCUUGUCUGCUGUGCGAUGGGGAGUCUGCAGGCAUGUAACAUGGCAGAAGCGCUCCAUCAGGUGAGCCAGCAGCCUCAACACCACCCAUAGCCCAUCGUUUGCUGAGCUUAUAUCACCUUCUGGAAAAUCUUUCAGAGCAAUAAAGACUAUGAG